This 73-nucleotide transfer RNA is filed under the name Bos taurus (domestic cattle). It matches the Rfam family "tRNA". From Rfam's summary of the family: Transfer RNA (tRNA) molecules are approximately 80 nucleotides in length. Their secondary structure includes four short double-helical elements and three loops (D, anti-codon, and T loops). The record is from Rfam by way of RNAcentral. RNAcentral also lists the same sequence under 5 other names. Lineage: Eukaryota; Metazoa; Chordata; Mammalia; Artiodactyla; Bovidae.
UCUCUGGUGGUCCAAUGGCUAAGACUCUAUACUUCCAAUGCAGGGGACCCAGGUUCAAUCCCUGAUCAGGGAA